This 769-nucleotide long non-coding RNA is filed under the name Anas platyrhynchos platyrhynchos (common mallard). RNAcentral's name for it is "lncRNA (ENSAPLG00000025713.1)". Lineage: Eukaryota; Metazoa; Chordata; Aves; Anseriformes; Anatidae. The record is from RNAcentral.
CAGAUACAAAAAGGAGGAAAAAGACUUAGGGGUGAGAUUCAUCUCUCCUAACUUCAGGGAUAGGAUCCAUCUCACUGAAAUGUGGGCGUAUAGAGAGUGAUUCACUGACCAGACGUAGGAGUCUGCUUUACAGUGAGACAAAUCGCUUCCUAGGCUCUGCCGACCACGUUGACUGGAUCCCCAGUGCCGGCAGUGGGAGUGCAGACUUCCAGCUCACAUGUAGACUCUUGCAUUGCACCGUCCCACACUACCUCCCACCCAGACUGGCUUCAGGGCUGGGAUUCACUUCAUCUAAUUUCAGACGUCUUCGCAGCACACUUCUACAUCAAGCUGGUCACCCUGGGCUUCCUGCACCGUCAAUGGAGAGGCGCAGGGGCAGCCACCAUCGCGUGGGCUAGCUGGGGCAACAGGCGAGUCCCCGUGCUCUGCAACACGCGCCUCUGCUCCUGGGAAAGCCAGGGAAAACAAAGAGCAACAUUACCAUAAGGCUGUGUCCAAGCUGCGUCCCACCUGCAGCCGGGAGCAUGAACGCCUGAGCUGUGCCUGGGAGAGAGCCAGCGAGCACCAGCCAAAAGCCACCCCCGGGGUCUGCACUUCCAGUGCAGCUGUGUGGGUCACUGCUGGCCACUGCAUGAACCCAGGACUUUAUUUAUGGGCACGCAUGGAGCCUGGAUGUCUCACCAGUCCUAAUUCAGUGACAUAUUUAAUCCUUUGCUGGGCAGAGCCGCUGCGAUGGUGGGGUGGCUUUUUCAGUGGCUGGAUGUUUUGA